GUGCUCACUUUGGCAGCACAUACCCUAAAAUUGGAAGGAUACAGAGAUUAGCAUGGCCCCUGCACAAGGAUGACAUGCAAAUUCGAGAAGCAUUCCUUAUUUUU
Small nuclear RNA from Bos indicus x Bos taurus (hybrid cattle), 104 nucleotides. The record is from Ensembl. Lineage: Eukaryota; Metazoa; Chordata; Mammalia; Artiodactyla; Bovidae.